This 208-nucleotide long non-coding RNA is filed under the name Elaeis guineensis (African oil palm). Its description in RNAcentral is "long non-coding RNA (EGUI_LNC036037)". The record is from RNAcentral. Lineage: Eukaryota; Viridiplantae; Streptophyta; Magnoliopsida; Arecales; Arecaceae.
GUUCUGCUUUAGAGGUGUGCAUGAAAGCUAAAUUCUGAUGUAGAUGUUAAGUAUUGUUUGAGGUAGAUAUAAUUGUGGUUGAUAUGUCAUCUCCUAUGAUCACGGAAGGUCUCCUUCAGCCCAUUAUCGACUUAUUAUUCUUUGCCUGCCAUUUCUAUUCAUCAGCCUAAAAAUUAACUAUACGGUUUAUAAAAUAUUAUUUUACCAA